AGUGAACGCUGGCGGCAGGCCUAACACAUGCAAGUCGAGCGGAUGAAUAGAGAGUGCUCCUGUUUUCAGCUGGCGACGGGUGGGUGAGUGAGAAGUAUCUCGCUAUUUAUUUUGUAUAAGGUCAGAAAACGGGGACUAAUACCGCAUAAGUGCAUAGGUAGAAAGGGUGGGAGCUUCGGACCUCAGGCUAUCGGAUGAGCCUAGGUCGGAUUAGCUAGUUGGUGGGGUAAAGGCCCACCAAGGCGACGAUCCGUAGCUGGUCUGAGAGGAUGAUCAGCCACACUGGAACUGAGACACGGUCCAGACUCCUACGGGAGGCAGCAGUGGGGAAUAUUGGACAAUGGGCGAAAGCCUGAUCCAGCCAUGCCGCGUGUGUGAAGAAGGUCUUCGGAUUGUAAAGCCCUUUAAUUGGGGAAGAAGGGCAGCAAGUUAAUACCUUGCUGUUUUGACGUUACCCAAAGAAUAAGCACCGGCUAACUUCGUG
This 484-nucleotide ribosomal RNA is filed under the name uncultured bacterium. Its description in RNAcentral is "partial 16S ribosomal RNA". It matches the Rfam family "Bacterial small subunit ribosomal RNA", at positions 29 to 507 of the family's 1533-position model. The record is from RNAcentral.